AUUGAACGCUGGCGGCAGGCCUAACACAUGCAAGUCGAGCGGUAGCACAGGGAGCUUGCUCCUGGGUGACGAGCGGCGGACGGGUGAGUAAUGUCUGGGAAACUGCCUGAUGGAGGGGGAUAACUACUGGAAACGGUAGCUAAUACCGCAUAACGUCGCAAGACCAAAGAGGGGGACCUUCGGGCCUCUUGCCAUCAGAUGUGCCCAGAUGGGAUUAGCUAGUAGGUGGGGUAAUGGCUCACCUAGGCGACGAUCCCUAGCUGGUCUGAGAGGAUGACCAGCCACACUGGAACUGAGACACGGUCCAGACUCCUACGGGAGGCAGCAGUGGGGAAUAUUGCACAAUGGGCGCAAGCCUGAUGCAGCCAUGCCGCGUGUAUGAAGAAGGCCUUCGGGUUGUAAAGUACUUUCAGCGGGGAGGAAGGUGUUGAGGUUAAUAACCUCAGCAAUUGACGUUACCCGCAGAAGAAGCACCGGCUAACUCCGUGCCAGCAGCCGCCGUAA
RNAcentral lists this ribosomal RNA (504 nucleotides) under uncultured bacterium. RNAcentral describes it as "partial 16S ribosomal RNA". It matches the Rfam family "Bacterial small subunit ribosomal RNA", at positions 30 to 523 of the family's 1533-position model. The record is from RNAcentral.